AGAAUCAACGCUGGCGGCGUGCCUAACACAUGCAAGUCGCACGAGAAAGGGGAGCAAUCCCUGAGUAAAGUGGCGCACGGGUGAGUAACACGUGAAUGAUCUACCUCCGAGUGGGGAAUAACUGAGAGAAAUCUUAGCUAAUACCGCAUAACACUUACGAGUCAAAGCAGCAAUGCGCUUGGAGAGGAGUUCGCGGCCGAUUAGCUAGUUGGCGGGGUAAUGGCCCACCAAGGCGAUGAUCGGUAU
Molecule: ribosomal RNA, 246 nt
Filed under: uncultured bacterium
Lineage: Bacteria
Description: partial small subunit ribosomal RNA
Rfam family: Bacterial small subunit ribosomal RNA
Source: RNAcentral